RNAcentral lists this transfer RNA (73 nucleotides) under Thermoprotei archaeon. Its description in RNAcentral is "tRNA-Ala". It matches the Rfam family "tRNA". From Rfam's summary of the family: Transfer RNA (tRNA) molecules are approximately 80 nucleotides in length. Their secondary structure includes four short double-helical elements and three loops (D, anti-codon, and T loops). The record is from RNAcentral. Lineage: Archaea; Thermoproteati; Thermoproteota; Thermoprotei.
GGGCCGGUAGUUCAGCUGGUAGAAUGCCCGCCUUGCACGCGGGAGGUCGCGGGUUCAAAUCCCGCCCGGUCCA